UAGACAUGCCCCUACUCGCAAUAUAGCGAGUAGGAGCAGAUUAAUUACUAAUACUAAAGUUGGCUGAAAGACGCAGAUGCAGCACAGAUCAGAUCGGAAUGUAAUAAAUUCUAAUGAAAUUUUGAACUGAAUCAAAAGUAUCAAAUAUCAUUCUAACAUGAAUGAACAAACUGUUCUCAUUCUGUUAGUGUGAAAUUCAGUAGUUUCGCCAGCAUCCUGUUCGGGAAACGUGAAAGAGGCAUCACUAGAUCACAGAGGAAAGGGUGAGUAUUGUGGGGAAAUUUCUCUGACCCACAGGAAAUGGGUCAGAGCGGAUCAAGCGUAGGAAAAAUACAUACGACCUAGUAGUCUCUACUUUGUAUUAUGUUUUAAAGAAUACUAGAGC
Non-coding RNA from Pelobates cultripes (western spadefoot toad), 385 nucleotides. Lineage: Eukaryota; Metazoa; Chordata; Amphibia; Anura; Pelobatidae. The record is from the annotation of a GenBank genome assembly.